ACCCAUCUCAGUACAUCAACUGGGAUGGAGUGCACCUCACUGAAGCCAUGUACAAGGCAAUUUCUCAAUUGUUUUUUACCGGAGGAGCCAUUCACCCUUCAUUUGCGUACUUAAUAAGCCACUGAAAAAAUAAACUACUACUGGCUGGACAGAUCCUGAGAAGUUCUGUUACAGUGAUCUCAGUGAGCUAAUCUUCUCAAUUAUAUGUAUGUAGUUGGAUAAUAUAUAGUACUAGUAGACGUCGAAUUUCUUGAUAUGAAUAACAUUGAAUGUUCAAUAUAUAAAAUAGACACCUCUUACGUAGCUAAGAGUUUUCAGGUGAAUAACUAAGUUCGAAUUAAAGCAUAAGAAUGACAAGCACAACACAUUUAGCUUCUAAUUUCAUAUCAAUAACUGAUCUCUGCCUACAGUAAAAAAACUCGAGCAAUACGAAAGAGCACAGCUAGCUAGAACCUCAUGGGCAAGCAAUGUUUUUACUGCCUUUAUAUUUUAUAUAUGUUCUUUACAUUGGAUAUUCACCACAAAAACAAUAGAUAAUGUGGCUGUUUGUUUGGUGGAAGCAGAAGCUGUGUUUGUGUAAAAAAGUAGAAACACUUUUAAGAAGUUAAGAAUGCUAACUUCUCUCUCACAGAUUCUACUUCUUUUCCAAACACUUUUUUAACUUAUUUACUUCUCAGUUCUAAUUCACUUCUUUACUUUAAGUAAGAAAUCACUUUUUUUAAGUUUGGCCAAACGGCCCCAAUAAACGAGCAGCAAGCUGUGUCACUGACCUUACAUGGCAGGAAACUAUACAUGGACCUAGCAAUAAUAAAAAUUACUAUCAGAGUGCAGUUAUGACUUGCAAGACCAGCAGUCCUCACAAUAAAAACUGAAUUAUUUUUUCACCUCAGCACACAAAUGGCUAGCAGUAUGAUCAAUUUACACAAAAAGAAGCAUUGAAAUUGUGAAAUAUAUAUAUGAAUGGAGUGUGAAAGCAAUCACAAAUUAGGGGAAACAAUUAGAAAGAAGAAACAGGAGCUUACAAAAACAGCAUGCAGGCCUGGUUAAAAGUAGAUUUUACAGGUUUUUAACAUCCCUCUCCGAGUCUCCCACCAUCAAACCUUCAUCUGUUCAAGAUUUACUCGCACACACACACAUAUGACUUGUACCUGAUCAA
RNAcentral lists this long non-coding RNA (1156 nucleotides) under Daucus carota (carrot). RNAcentral's name for it is "long non-coding RNA (DCAR_LNC001477)". Lineage: Eukaryota; Viridiplantae; Streptophyta; Magnoliopsida; Apiales; Apiaceae. The record is from RNAcentral.